CCUUCACCUGCGCCCGGGAGAGGCGGCGGGAGGCAGCAUCCCCGCGCCGCGGCCGGGGCGGGAGGCCGGCGCCGCGUCUGCUCGUGUCAGCGCGAGGGGGCAGGGAAAAGUUGUCCUAGGGUUCCCCAUCCCGGUCGCCCCCGGGACAAAAGCCCUGUGCCGUAUCGAUCAUCCGUAGGUGUCCUGGCGAAGGUGUGGGGGCCAAAACCAGAGCUGGGGGGGGGGCGGGGAACAAACAAAAGCCACCCCCUGGGAGCCGGAGGCGAGCUGGCCUUCUUUCGAGUGACAAGCCACGAGGAGCGUUUUCAUCGCUUUCUUAAAAAAUCGGGGUCUGCCGCUGUGGCGAAAAGGCGGUGUAAAGAAAACCAAAUCUAUGUGCCUCAGAGACGAGUUGGACAUUGGUAUGUAAAUCAUGUAACUUGUUUAAAAAACAGUAACUGCUUAAGCGGGGUUUAAUUGGCAAGUAAAAUAUGUACUGUGAAAAAGUAAAGGACAUGUCUGCCAAAUGAGAUAGGUUAAAAUAAUUUGUAAUUGUUUUUCUAAAAAGGAUCCCUAAUUUAUAUAUUGUUUCUAGCAUUAAUUCCUCAGUGGCUGUUUCAUAUACUUAUUUUUCUCUUUCCAUUAGAAGUUAGGAAAAGAAAUCAUUAAAAGACUCAUCAUUUGUAGAAUGGAUUAGAUUUUAGCGCUUUCAUUUAUUCAUGCCUCUCCUCUGAAUUUAUUCUGGAUCUUUACUUUCACCUUCUAUUUGUAUGCACCUUUCUGUUUUCUUGCUUUUUAUUAUCAACUUCACUUUAAAGUGUGACUUUCCUGUCUCUCUGUUGUCUGCUUCUCCUUAGUGCUGGCUGUUUUCUAGCUGCCCUUCAUUACCCAGAUGAAUUCCAGCUUCUGGAACUCAUCAAAUGAAUUCCACCUUCUGGAAUUCAUCAAAGACACCUUGAGUCCUAGUUAUCACUAAUUUAAACUCAGACAUCCCAGUAAUUGUUAGGAUUAAUGGGGCCCUUCUACUGUACAACCCAGCGACUAGAGAGAUGAGUUCUAGGGUAGAGGGAGUGGGGGAGUCUCAAGGGAGAAGGAAUGGCAUGGAAGAGAUCUUCCAAGGAUUUUAAAAUUUUAUCCCUAAAAUGUAAGGUAAAAUCAAAGUUCAGUCCUGAAAUCUGAAUGGACUGGAAGUUGUGAGGGCAGCUGCUAUACCUCAAAUUCGGAAUCUUUGGCACCCAUAGGAGUGCCUGCUGACUUGAAUUAUUGUUAGAACUGCUGCUUCCUUCAGGAUGCUCUGUGGUAGGCUGGGGAGACAGUGUACCCGGGUUUAAGAGGGUACAGACUUUGAAAUAAGUCUGUUGGUGUUUGAAUCCCAUCUCUGCCACUUUGUGAUAUUGGACAAGACAUUCAGUUUCUCAAAGCUUCAGUUUCCUCAUUUGUCAUAUGGUGGAGGGGCAUAUGAAAUAUGAAGUAAGUCCCUGCUCUCAGAAAGGAAAGUGGAACGCACGUACAGGAGGUAACUAACAACCUAAGGGCCUAUGGUAAAUGGCAAAGGAGCUUUUAACUAAAGGACUGAAAAGGGAGGAGUGAUUGCUGAGUAGAUGAAAAUUUCGGGAGGAGACUGGACUUGACCCGAGCUUUGAAGGACCAGGGGAGCAAGUGAGAGGAACAGGCUCCUUGAAGCCAGAUUGCCUGUGCGUUUGAAUCCUAGCCCUGCUUCUUUGUAAUCUUAAGCAAGACGCUUCACCUCCUGAAUAAAAUUUUUGAGGGACUUAAAUCCCCAGUACUUAGACCAGUGCCUCACACAUGUGAGAGCUUGGUAAGUUAUUACAAGUUGGGAGAUGGGGUAGAGAGAACAUGAAGUGAUCUUGACAGGGGCUUACUCUAGGUGUGUUUGAAAUGAUGAGGUCAGAUUGGUUGGAAGGGAACCCACUGGGAAAUGGUGAUGACAUUGGGGCGGAAUUCUGAGUGAUUAAGACAGGAAGUGUGGCAUCUCUUCCAUAAGAACCGAAGGAACUUGGGAGGAUUUCUUGGGUUAUUUGUGAAGAGUGCUUGUGUUUUAUAGAUCACCCUUUCAAGUCUAUAGCUCUAGUGUUUCUCCUGUUCCUGAUUUCAGCAUAACUGCAUCUUCUAUUCAGACUCUUUCUGACACUGAAGCUCCUGAUCGUCUGUCCUGAAUCACUAUGCCUCUAAUUGGUGGAAUGGUUUUGUAAACGUGAUUUUGACUGACUUUUCCCUCUCCGUAGUCCAGUUGUUUAUGUAAUGUUUAUUUCUUUUCUCCAGUUUAGUGGGUGUUUGCUACAGUUUUUUUGCUCUGUGCUUGAAACCCCAGUCUAGAUGUAAGUCAUAAAGC
This 2332-nucleotide long non-coding RNA is filed under the name Dasypus novemcinctus (nine-banded armadillo). RNAcentral's name for it is "lncRNA (ENSDNOG00000051876.1)". The record is from RNAcentral. Lineage: Eukaryota; Metazoa; Chordata; Mammalia; Cingulata; Dasypodidae.